RNAcentral lists this ribosomal RNA (439 nucleotides) under uncultured bacterium. Its description in RNAcentral is "partial 16S ribosomal RNA". It matches the Rfam family "Bacterial small subunit ribosomal RNA", at positions 339 to 795 of the family's 1533-position model. The record is from RNAcentral.
CUACGGGGCGCAGCAGUGAGGAAUAUUGCACAAUGGGGGGAACCCUGAUGCAGCAACGCCGCGUGGAGGAUGACGCAUUUCGGUGUGUAAACUCCUUUUAUAUGUCAAGAAAAUGACGGUAGCAUAUGAAUAAGCACCGGCUAACUCCGUGCCCGCAGCCGCGGUAAUACGGAGGGUGCAAGCGUUACUCGGAAUCACUGGGCGUAAAGGACGCGUAGGCGGGUUGGAAAGUCAGGUGUGAAAUCCUACAGCUUAACUGUAGAACUGCACUUGAAACUUCUAAUCUAGAGUAUGGGAAGGGGAGAUGGAAUUAGUGGUGUAGGGGUAAAAUCCGUAGAUAUCACUAGGAAUACCUAAAGCGAAGGCGAUCUCCUGGAACAUUACUGACGCUAAGGCGUGAAAGCGUGGGGAGCAAACAGGAUUAGAUACCCCUGUAGUC